This 295-nucleotide ribosomal RNA is filed under the name uncultured bacterium. RNAcentral's name for it is "partial 16S ribosomal RNA". It matches the Rfam family "Bacterial small subunit ribosomal RNA", at positions 335 to 621 of the family's 1533-position model. The record is from RNAcentral.
ACUCCUACGGGAGGCAGCAGUGGGAAGUAUUGCACAAUGGGCGCAAGCCUGAUGCAGCCAUGCCGCGUGUAUGAAGAAGGCCUUCGGGUUGUAAAGUACUUUCAGCAGUGAAGGAAGGCGGUACGUUAAUAGCGUGCUCGUUUGACGUUAGCUGCAGAAGAAGCACCGGCUAACUCCGUGCCAGCAGCCGCGGUAAUACGGAGGGUGCGAGCGUUAAUCGGAAUUACUGGGCGUAAAGCGCAUGCAGGUGGUUUGUUAAGUCAGAUGUGAAAGCCCGGGGCUCAACCUGCGGAAU